This is a long non-coding RNA of Salmo salar (Atlantic salmon), 1953 nucleotides long. RefSeq lists it as uncharacterized. Lineage: Eukaryota; Metazoa; Chordata; Actinopteri; Salmoniformes; Salmonidae. The record is from RefSeq and is a predicted model, not a curated record.
UUUCAUUUGCUACCAUUGGAAAUGACAGGCUCUAUUCUAUCUUAGGUUAGUUAUAAAAACUUUGAUAUAAUGGUACAUUUCAUUUGAAAUUUACAGCAGCUAAUGUCAGCUAGCUGGCUUCUGACAUUCAUCCUAGCUUUACAAUCAACUGGCUGGCUUCAUCAGGCAGCUUUAGAUCUGGACAGGGAGUAAGAUUAUUAGAAAGCAGAAUGCUGCCAGACAACCUCAGGACCAUAGAGGGGCACUUCUGAAAUAUUUUGGAGCACCCUCUGGCACUGGUCAGAAUGAGGAGCCAUCUACCUCCUCAGCCACACAGGCCUCUUCAGAAAUUAUCUCUGAGCCUCAAGAUGAGGAGCCAUCCACCUCCUCAGCCGCACAGGCCUCUUCAGAAAUUAUCUCUGAGCCUCAAGAUGAGGAGCCAUCCACCUCCUCAGCCGCACAGGCCUCUUCAGAAAUGAUCUCGGCGCUUCAGGAUGAGGAGCCAUCCACUUCCUCAGCCACACAGGCCUCUUCAGAAAUUAUCUCUGAGCCUCAAGAUGAGGAGCCAUCCACCUCCUCAGCCACACUGGUGUCUUCACAAAUGUUGUCUGAGCCUGAGGAUGAAGACCCAUUUGCUUCCACUUCUCCCCAGCAGGAUUCUUCAGGUGUGUUUGUUUGUUUGUUUGUUUGUCCUGUGUGAAUUUAAGUAUGCUCUCUAAUUCUCUAUUUUUUUCUCUCUCUCUUUCUCUCUCCCUCUCUCUCUCGGAGGACAUGAGCCCUAGGACCAUGCCUCAGGACUACCUGGCCUGAUGACACCUUGCUGUCCCCAGUCCACCUGGCCGUGCUGCUGCUCCAGUUUCAACUGUUCUGCCUGCGGCUAUGGAACCCUGACUUGUUCACCGGACGUGCUACCUUGUCCCACACCUGCUGUUUUCAACUUUAUAGAGACAGCAGGAGCGGUAGAGAUGCUAUGAAAAGCCAACUGACAUUUACUCCUGAGGUGCUGACCUGUUGCACCCUUUACAACCACUGCGAUUAUUAUUUUUUGACACUGCUGGUCAUCUAUGAACAUGCUGAGGAUGAACCACUGUCUACAGACCCUGUGACAGGCCUUCAGUUCUGACUGACAGGAUUUGGACACAAUUAGUUUGUAGAGGACCAUGUGAGGUACCAGCUAACAUUGUUUUCCCAAGGAAUGAGAUUGAUGAAAGAAGUUGCCACCACCAGUAUUUCAGGAAGACCAUGGUGAGUGGUGAAAAAAUCCCUAGAAGUUGGUUGGUGUAUUCUGAAAGAAACAACAGCCUCUUCUGCUUCUGCUGCAAACUCUUUUCUAAGAAGAAAAUGAAUUUAGCAAACUCAGGACUGACAGACUGGGAACAUACAAGUUCUUUGCUGACUUCACACGAAAGCAAUCCAGAACACCAAAACUGCAUGAAAACAUGGAAAGAACUGGCAAUGAGGAUAAAAAAGGGGAAACAAUUGAUAAGCAUGAGAUGGCACUUAUGGAGGCUGAGAGGAUAAGAUGGCGAGAGGUGUUGACACGUCUGACUGCCAUUGUGCAGUCUCUGGCAAUUAGAAAUCUGGCACUAAGGGGACACACAGAAACACUGUACUCUCCAUCAAAUGGAAAUUUCCUUAAAGAGGUUGAACUGAUGGCACAAUUUGAUCCAGUCAUGAAAGUGCACCUUAACCGUGUCCAAAAAGGGUCCUCGAGUCACACCACCAGCUUCCUUGGCCACCAAAUACAGAAUGAACUCUUCAAUAAGCAUUUUUCUAUGACUGGCCAUGCUUUACACCUGGCUACCCCUACCCCGGUCAACAGCCCUGCACUCCCCACAGCAACUUGCCCAAGCCUCCCCAUUACUCCUUCACCCAAAUCUAGAUAGCUGAUGUUCUGAAAGAGCUGCAAAAUUUGGACCCCUACAAAUCAGUCGGGCUAGACAAUCUGGAUCCUCUCUUUCUAAAAUGAUCUGC